RNAcentral lists this ribosomal RNA (560 nucleotides) under Blastocystis sp. Its description in RNAcentral is "SSU rRNA". It matches the Rfam family "Eukaryotic small subunit ribosomal RNA", at positions 21 to 607 of the family's 1831-position model. The record is from RNAcentral. Lineage: Eukaryota; Bigyra; Opalinata; Blastocystidae. RNAcentral also lists the same sequence under 1 other name.
AGUCAUACGCUCGUCUCAAAGAUUAAGCCAUGCAUGUGUAAGUAUAAAUAGUUAACUUUGAAACUGCGAAUGGCUCAUUAUAUCAGUUAUAGUUUAUUUGAUGAAGAAUACUAAUUGGAUAACCGUAGUAAUUCUAGAGCUAAUACAUGUAUAAAGUCUUGUAGACUGCAUUUAUUAGAAUGAAAACCAUAGGUUUCGGCCUAUUCGUGAGUAAUAAUAACUAAUCAUAUCGUAUGCUUAAGUAACGAUGUGUCUUUCAAGUUUCUGCCCUAUCAGCUUUCGAUGGUAGUGUAUUGGACUACCAUGGCAGUAACGGGUAACGAAGAAUUUGGGUUCGAUUUCGGAGAGGGAGCCUGAGAGAUGGCUACCACAUCCAAGGAAGGCAGCAGGCGCGUAAAUUACCCAGUCCUGACACAGGGAGGUAGUGACAAUAAAUCACAAUGCGGAACAAUGUUUUGCAAUUGGAUUGAGAACAACGUACAAACCUUAUCGAUAAACAAUUGGAGGGCAAGUCUGGUGCCAGCAGCCGCGGUAAUUCCAGCUCCAAUAGCGUAUAUUAA